Molecule: ribosomal RNA, 118 nt
Filed under: Tropilaelaps mercedesae
Lineage: Eukaryota; Metazoa; Arthropoda; Arachnida; Mesostigmata; Laelapidae
Source: RNAcentral
GCCAUCGGCCAAACCGCUUUGAAGCCUCGGUUCUCUUCCAAUCACCGAAGCUUAACAACGGUUGGCCCGGGGAGUACUUGGAAGGGAGACCGCGUGCGAACACUGGGUGUUGAUGGUA